This 528-nucleotide long non-coding RNA is filed under the name Homo sapiens (human). RNAcentral describes it as "HSALNT0391123". The record is from RNAcentral. Lineage: Eukaryota; Metazoa; Chordata; Mammalia; Primates; Hominidae.
AGAAACACAGUUUAUAUCCUUGAAUAGGUAGGAAAACAAUGAACACGAUAAGUAAAAGAAUCAUUGCAACCUUGUUGGGGAUAUUCAGAAACAGAAAAUAACACCUGCUUUCUCAUUUCCAGAGCUAUCAGCUUCCCAGUUUGCACAAUUCAUCAAGAAAUUAUGCGGGGUCACUGGCACAAAUGAUGAGGCAUCUCCUGGAAGCUUAACUUCUUAUCCAUCCCAUCUCUUGGACAGAUGAUGCCAGUUAAUUACUUUGAAUGCUCCUCCACCAAGCCAAGGCCAGACUCCUGCAAUCAUAGGAUGGCAACACCACCUCUAAAGCACAGAACUUCAGCCUUUGCUUCGGAAGUGGCACCAUGGUCUCUUCAUUUUCCCUUUCUUCAAGGCAAGUUUGAAAACCACUGCUUUAAAGAAAAUGGAUACUCCCCUUACCAAGCAGAAAGUAGGAUUUUGGAAACUGAUGCAAGGGAAGCAAAAAAGAUGCCUCAGGAGGCACGAUUACAACAGGAUUGAUGCAAACGGAAG